UACAGAGGGUGCAAGCGUUGUUCGGAAUUAUUGGGCGUAAAGGGCGCGUAGGCGGUGCGGUAAGUCUGUAGUGAAAUCUCUGGGCUCAACUCAGAGUCUGCUGCAGAAACUGCCGUGCUUGAGUGUGGGAGAGGUGAGUGGAAUUCCCGGUGUAGCGGUGAAAUGCGUAGACAUCGGGAGGAACACCGGUGGCGAAAGCGGCUCACUGGACCACGACUGACGCUGAGGCACGAAAGCUAGGGGAGCAAACAGG
This 253-nucleotide ribosomal RNA is filed under the name uncultured bacterium. RNAcentral's name for it is "partial 16S ribosomal RNA". It matches the Rfam family "Bacterial small subunit ribosomal RNA", at positions 524 to 776 of the family's 1533-position model. The record is from RNAcentral.